AAAGGCUGCUGUGUGUCGUUGCAGAUGUGACGAGUACGUCACGCAGCUGGAUGAAAUGCAGCGGCAGCUCGCGGCGGCCGAGGAUGAGAAGAAGACUCUGAACUCCUUGCUCCGGAUGGCUAUCCAGCAGAAACUGGCCUUGACCCAGCGCCUGGAACACUUGGAGCUGGACCACGAGCAGUCCAAAAGGGUGCGCACAAAAUCCGCCUCCAAAGCCAAGGGCAGUAACCCCAGCAUGCUCAGCCCUUGCUCCCGCGCUGCCUCUGCCUAGUCAGGAGACAUCCCAGUGCUAACAGAAGGUAAUAAACAGCACAGCUGCUUUUCCCACUCGAGGGAAAACCACCUGAGAUUUUGGCUUCCCAGAUAUUUCAGGGUACUGGGGGGAGGGGGGGAGAAGUCUUCUGGAAAUUCAUACAGUGAGACUUCAAACAAAUGGAACUUUGCUACAAAGCUGGGAACCGUGGGAAUGCCACCACCCAGAGCCAGAAUUGUAUUUAUUGAUACGGAGAGGAGGAUAAAAACCCCAAGUGAUGCAGUUCUGAUAUGUUGCUCAAACAUCACUGCUUGGGAAGUUUAAACAAACUGCAAUUCUGGGUUUAGAAACUGGGCCCUGUGUGUCUGUUAUUACUUUUUUUAGAAAACACUGAAUUCUCCUGAAUUUGAGCUUUAAUAUUGCUAAAUAGCAGGUUUGAUAUUUUAGAAGAGGCAUCUUUUACAAUUUUCAAUCCUGCUUUUCUCUUCUUUGCUGCACAAUCUUCCAAAAGGCCUUUAUUCUUCUCAUUCCUGCAUUAAGUACAUUUUAAAAAUACUUGGUGAGAGCAGGUGUUUGAGUGCUAACCUUCUCUGCUUCUCUGCUUCAGUAGACACAGUUACAAUUCUGCUUCCGCUAUGGUAGGGAGCUUUAAAACAGUUUUCACUGCUUCCAUGUCUCUAAUGACAGUAUUUUUGCAAAAUAAUGAUGGCAAAAAGAUAAACUGGAGAAUGCAUUGUUAUGUUGCAUAAUUGAAUGCAUUGUUAGGGUGUUUUUUUUUUCCAAAUUAUCUGGAAUUUUCUGUAAAGAUUUCGGUGUUACCAGAUAGGUGACUAUUGCUGUCAGACUUGGCUCAUUCUUUCAGUUCCAAGUAUGAACAAUUCUGCUAUUAGCCCAGUAAUCUUAGUGGUCCUUUCCACCUUCAGUCAUUUCUGUGAGUCUUUUAAAACCCACAAAAGCCAGCCUGGCUGCUCUUCGAGCCUGUCACCGUUAUGGUUCAUCCUGUUAGGAAAAGAACUGAGGGACAGUGUAAAGUGACUCCAUCCUGCUGUUUGUGUUUUUAGAGAAUAUUUAAGACUGAGUCUUUUAAUUCUUGAUUUAUUUUUUUUUUUGAGACAUUCAUUUGCUGUGUAAGUCUUUCCUGUCAGUCUUAAUGGGUUGGGAUAAAGCAUGGAAAAUUCCUUAAGCCAUCACCUACCUCUGCGAGCAGGCUCUUCUGGAUGGUUCUCUGCAUAGGCCUGCAUGACACACUGACCUGCAUGUUUCUGGAGAACCUAAAGCUUCACUGAAAACAUUUCCUGUGCACCCAUGGCUGUUAACUCGUGCUUGAACAGCAAAGCUUUAUUCAGUACUUGUAAGAAUCCUUCUUUCUGCAAAGCUGUUGCUUCCAGGCUGAGCCCCUUGUUCACCCAGCUGGGAAGGUGGCCUGGCUGCUGCUCCCCCAGCCAGCUAACAGACCCCCAACCAACUAACCUGCACAUAGGUUUGUGUUUUCAGCUCUUUUAAUUGAGAAAUAAACACUGAUAUUUUUUUUUUCUAAUGCUAUUUUAUUUUUCCAUUUUUCAGCUGUAGAGUAGUCCCUGGAGAAGGCCUUUCCAACAGUGCAACAGCAUUUCUUAGCCUUCCUCACUCUGGUUCAAAGUGGUGGCCCAUUGCAGAGUGGAAACCACUGACCUGAUCCUAACUUUUGAAAACACCUUUUCCUAUAUACUACCUGAAACCUUCCCUUUCUGCCUGAAGCUAUGAAAAAACAAGCUUUACUUAUAAGUGCUGCUGCAGUAAGAAACCUUACAAGUGCUGAAGAAACCUACUUCAAAUGUAACCAUGUUAGUGUGUGCUCUCCUAGAAAUGUCGGAUGGGGGAAUUUAUUUCAUUGCAGAUGCUCUUUUUUUUUUUACCUGAUUGUUAAACCUGUGCACUUUUGAUAUUUUUCUUUAGCUUCUUUAAUUCCUUAUGUAGAAGAGUUUAUAUAAAUGCAGUGGUUUGUGCUCAUAGUCUCUCUCCAAUUUGGAACUUGUGAUUUAUGAAUUAUAUAUCAGCAUGUGGCAGAGAUUUUGGGGGGGCUCUAGAUUGUGAUUAGAAAAGAGUUUCAACAAAAAAACAGGAGCUCUGCUAAACUAUGUGCUGUGCUUCAGCAUUUUUUUUAUUAUUAUAAAAUGUUAAGCUUUAUAUGUUUAAAUUACUGAUUUUCUUUUUAACUGCCAUGUUCAUUAAGAAAUCCAGGGUAUUCAAAUUCUGGGGUUUUUUUCAUAUUGUAUUAUUAUUCUUAGGAAUAGUUCAAUGUAACAAGAAGAAAACUUGACUUUGUUCUGGUUAAAACAGUAAUAGGCACUUGAAAAAUAUUAAAUAAGUAGUAUUACCUAUAAAUUCCAGAAUUCCUGGGUUUUAGGAAGUUGAAGUAUUAUUGAUUAACAGAAUUUUAUACAACUAUACCAGUGAAAUUCCAAAUUGGAAUUGUUGUGUUACUUUUUCAUUUUAUUGUGCCAAAUUGUGGUACAUUUAGAAAGAAAAAUUCUAAAGUGGUCAAUGAUAGGGUGUUAUCUAUCAGCGCCUUUCUGUCACUCGUUAUUGCCAGUAGUGCCUUUGAUCAUUUGAAGGGAGACUCUUAGAGUAGCGUUGGGCCAAGUCCUGUCACUUAGGAGGAGUGGGAUGGCUGGGUUUGGGAAUUUAUUGAAGACGUGGAGCAAUAAGUGCAAAGUGAACUCCCCUUUCGCACAUUUUUAACGGUAGUCUUACUUAGAGAGAUUAUAUAUUCGAGGGAUUGUAAAAAAUUCUGUUAGUCAAUGAUAUUUCACCGUGCAAAUUCAGGGGUAGAGAGGAACAAGCAAACAAAACAAACAAACGAAACCACAAAGCUAAAGGAGCCCGACUGCAGGUGGGGAACCAACUGGCCUCCCGUUGGAUCCUCGCGGUCCCGGGCGCCGUGGGCGCGGCACAUCCACAUCUCCUCUUGCAUGUUGUACCCAGGUGUGAUUUCAGCAAACAGAAAGCGCAUCAACCAGCCCCGCUGGGCUUGUUGAGGCUCCUGGGAAUGAUUAAAUUGGUACUUGGGCUGGAGUGGGGAGGGAGUUCUCCCGCUCCUCAAAAACAAAAAUAAAAUAAAAAAGGACAAAUCGAACCAAUAUCGAUGGAAGAGAUUUCUGUUUGCUGGAAAAAGCAUUAUUAUUCCUAGAUGUGGGGACUUAUAUUUCCAUCUUCUGUUACAGUAUUGAUUCAUAAGAAAUAUUGUUGCAUUUAAAAUUACUACAUUUGUAUGUGGGUAUUUAUUUGAAAUGAUGUCAAAGUACUGUAUUAUGUUCUAUGUGCAUUACCUUUUAGUGGUGGGUUGGUCUCCAUUUAACGUCGUAUGCAUGUAAUCUUGCCAAGUAACCUUUACACAGACCUGAGGGAAAAAAAAAAGAGAAAAUGUGAGAACUUCUUCAAAGGAUAACUGCGUGUUAAUUGGAUAACCUUAGGAGGGGGUAGAGGGCAAAAAACGUUGCUUCCAGAUUAAUCAAACAGUGUUUAAUGUAGGAAGGCAAUGUGCCUGCGUAAAGGUGGUCACAUUGGCAGGAGCAAUAAAAGAGAAAAGGAAUUGUGUGUUCUGCCUCUUGGUUUUGUGGUUUAAGUCGUCUGCCAAAGUGAUUUUCAGCGUGAGGCCAAAUACACAGCGAUUUUUGUCUGGGAGAAACUGGAUACUUUGCAUGAAGUGUGCUGCAGAGCUAGAAAAUUAAUUCUUUGUGCUCAUAUUCAGGGAGAACCAUCCCUUAUUGUUCCAUGAGGAUUAUUUUUGGCCUGGAUCAGGCUGUUUUAAUGUGUGUCACUGAAUAGCUUUGCAAACACUCGUACCUGGUACAUGUUAAAGAAGGGUAGGACUUAAUGCUUUGGUGGCAGCGGUGACAAGUCAGCCUGAAAUUACAUCUUCAUUUCUCAUCUGCUCUCCAAAAUACUCGUGUACUCCAAGGGCUCCACCCAGCCUGGUCUGGAACACUUCCCUGGCAGUGUUCCAGGCCAGGCUGGACAGGGCCCUGAGCACCCUGGUCUAGUGAAAGAUGUCUCUGCCCAUGGCCCAGGGGUGGAAUGAAUGGUCUUUGAGGUCCCUUCCGACCAGUCAGGGAUUCUAUGAAAAAGCACUAAGUUGACGUUUGUCCAGUAGAUUCAACAAAACAAACUCACAAAAAGCCCCUGAAGGAGAAUGCCCCAAGUCUGAGGGCAAGGCUGAGGUUUGCCCCAUCCAUACAAAGAUGUCCCCAGAAUCAUAGAAUCAGCCAGGUUGGAAAGGACCUCUGAGAUGACUUGAUAUUGGCCCCUAGAAAUAUUAAAUCUGGUUUUAUACUCUAGUUUAAUGGCUCUUCUGUCCCCAGGUAGGGUUCCUACCUACCUGGUAGCAGUCCAGCUGCAUGACACCAGCUCUUCAACACAAUUUAUACCUGGAGAGCAAGAUGCCAGUUCUUCCUUGGACAUUGAAAACACUUGUUCAGUGGUGUGCAGUGAACUAACAGAGCCCUGCUUGUAGAGUUCUGCAUUUCUAAAACAGGAGCUUUACCUGCAGGAUGAUCUAGGGAAGAAACAUGGUGUAAAUCCAUCUGCAUUGAGACCAGGCCUGUUAAAUAGUUGAACAGUGUGAUUCAAGAAUGCCUUAGUAAGAAAGAAAAUGAGAGAACUAAAGGAGAAUAUUUAGAUUAAAAGCCUGUCUAGUGAAUGCCUAUUAA
This is a long non-coding RNA of Pipra filicauda (Wire-tailed manakin), 4941 nucleotides long. RefSeq lists it as uncharacterized. The transcript is spliced from 2 exons. Lineage: Eukaryota; Metazoa; Chordata; Aves; Passeriformes; Pipridae. The record is from RefSeq and is a predicted model, not a curated record.